GGGGGCGUAACGGUUUCGACGGGGGUGAUCUGAGUAGACGGCUGCGUGUCGAGGCUCCGUAACCUCGUAAAUCCAUCGGAAAAAUCAGAAACGCGAACGAUAACGCGUACGCUCUCGCUGCUUAAUAACCAGACAGAGAGCCGCCUCCCUCGGGUAGUUCUCGCGACUUGAGACGGGGUGUCAAAAUAAACGAGAUAGCUCCCUCGGCUUUCACCGCGAGGUGAGCGAAACCAAAGGUGGAAUAGCCCAAGGGGCCCUAUGUCGGUGGAGGGUCCCAGCGGGUGAAUCAAACACCGACUACACACGUAGUAGCCCCUGCCAAGCACUUUCGGACCCGGGUUCGACUCCCGGCGCCUCCAACA
Molecule: transfer-messenger RNA, 362 nt
Filed under: Myxococcales bacterium
Lineage: Bacteria; Pseudomonadati; Myxococcota; Myxococcia; Myxococcales
Also listed under: 2 other names
Rfam family: transfer-messenger RNA
About the family: Bacterial tmRNA, also known as 10Sa RNA or SsrA, is named for its dual tRNA and mRNA-like properties. Its role is to liberate the mRNA from a stalled ribosome.
Source: RNAcentral